Molecule: ribosomal RNA, 119 nt
Filed under: Carlito syrichta (Philippine tarsier)
Lineage: Eukaryota; Metazoa; Chordata; Mammalia; Primates; Tarsiidae
Source: RNAcentral
GUCCAAGGCCUUACCACCCUGAACGCGGCGGAUCUCCUCUGAUCUCCGAAGCCUAGCAGGGUCAGGCCUGGUUAGUACUUGGAUGGGAGACCGCCUGGCAACACCGGGUGCUGUAGGCC